AUACGGAGGGUGCAAGCGUUAUUCGGAAUCACUGGGCGUAAAGGACGCGUAGGCGGGUUGGCAAGUCAGAUGUGAAAUCCUACAGCUUAACUGUAGAACUGCAUUUGAAACUGCUAACCUAGAGUAUGGGAGGGGGAGAUGGAAUUAGUGGUGUUGGGGCAAAAUCCGUAGAUAUCACUAGGAAUACCGAAAGCGAAGGCGAUCUCCUGGAACAUAACUGACGCUAAGGCGUGAAAGCGUGGGGAGCAAACAGGAUUAGAAACCCCAGUAGUCC
This 274-nucleotide ribosomal RNA is filed under the name uncultured bacterium. Its description in RNAcentral is "partial 16S ribosomal RNA". It matches the Rfam family "Bacterial small subunit ribosomal RNA", at positions 523 to 796 of the family's 1533-position model. The record is from RNAcentral.